Long non-coding RNA from Siniperca chuatsi (mandarin fish), 2656 nucleotides. RefSeq lists it as uncharacterized. The transcript is spliced from 3 exons. The record is from RefSeq and is a predicted model, not a curated record. Lineage: Eukaryota; Metazoa; Chordata; Actinopteri; Centrarchiformes; Sinipercidae.
UCAACCUUCAACAUUCAAAUAUGAUGCUGUUACAUCGACUCGUGUAAAAAAAGAUAAGAUGAUCACUAUGAAAGAGAGAGAGAGAGAGAGAAAGAGAGAGAGAGAGACGACAGGGCCACAUGUGGUCAGUCUCCACCCACUCCUUUGUUUGUUUUCAUUCUCCUCCUCACUUCUUCACCCCCCUAUCACCCUAUCACCCCAUCACGAGGCAGAGAGAGAAUGGCACGCCUGUUGUCAUGGCUCACCUUCUUUUCAACCAACGUCUCCAUGGUGACACUGCCUCACAGCCUUUCAUCUGCUUCCACCUUCAUCUCUUCCCAUAGCUCAUCUCUCCCCUUGCGCCAAUUACUGUGGUUAAAGCCUGGUCCUUGUCUUCAGGAGUUCAUCCUCUCAUCUUUCCAUUAUGUUCAGUCUCAUUCAUCCACCCCUCCCUCCCUCCUCUCCUCCACUUUGUCUGUUUUCCAACCUCCUCCUCUGCUUUGCCCCUCCCACCAUCCCUCUCUUUCUCUUUUCCUCCUCUCCCCCUUCUCUUUUCUGGUGCUUUAUCUCUGCAGUCUCCGUCUCUCCUUCCACCACUCCCUGUCGGCGAUGCGAUGAUGCUGUCCUGGCCGCCUCCCAAACCUUUUGCCCCCUCGCUCCUCCACCCCCACACCUCCCUCCCUCCUGAUGCUAUAAAUACCCAGCAUCGGUGAGUCAUUGCUGAGACGUAUCGGUUGCCUCCCCUUCUGCCUCUCCAUCCUCACCCCCCCACCUCUUCCUCAUAUCAUUCCCUCACGUCUCUCUCUGCUCAAGCUCAUUGCCAGACCUCACACGAUUCCACACCUCCACUUUGGCCCUCGCAUCAUGAUGACCCAGCUGAGCUAAGCCGGGGCCCUGUGCUUGGCAUGGUGCAGCCAGUGUUACAGAGCGCGGCCAAAGGUCAGUUUGACACUUGACGACCAAAAACAAAAUCAGCAGGAGUGUGCACAACAUGGGAAACACAAUCAACCAAAAAAUAGUGGAUCACAUUCACUAACUUUCCAAUUAGGUGAAAGGAAAUGUGGCCAGUGCUCUCCUUAAAUGCCCCCUAAGUAGCUUCAAAGUCAGAUGAAACAUUUUUCUUCUUAAGCAACAUCAAAUAAAAAGAAAUGUAUUUGGUAUCUGCAUGUUCCAGUGCUUAAUUGCUGCUAUAUGAAACUAACAUGGAGUGAAAUACUGAAAUCCAAGAUUGCAUUAGUACAUCAAAGAUUCUCAUGUUUGACAUUAUACUGUAUUUCAUCCAAGCCUUUGAAUAUGGAUUUUAAUUUAAAUUGAGGUUAUGUGUGUUUGAACAGUGCUUUAUCACACAAUAUGAGUUUGUAAUGAUGCCAACGAGGUUCAAUAGGUUAAAGGGAUUAAUGCAAAAAACACAUAACAAAGACAUGUUAGGGAGCUACUUUAGACACAAAAGUGUCUUUUGCUAAAAGAAAGGGUGGCAGAAAGAGAAAGAGGGCAGCUCAUCAUUUCCAAUCCUGCCCUUUACAUCCACACUUCAUAUCUCUAUUUCAGCCUAUCCCCUCUGUACCUUAGUGUGUCUUACAUGUAAUUUCUGUCCAAUGUCAUAUCUCAGUCCCAGUCCUCUCUGUACCUCCAUUUUUCAGCCUCAGAUGUAAUUAUUCUCCGUUUUCUCCAGCCACCACCCACCUCUCCAGAAUUAUGAGGCAGCUCUGGUUCAGCUCCGCUCAUCCUUGGGUAAACUCCAGUAUGGCUUAUUGGCUCACACUGGAGUGUGCGCAUAAAGCACAAAUACAGAUAAAAGUUUUUUGCGCACUUCUGAGUCAUAAGUAGACAGGAAGAAGGAGCAAGCAAGGUGAGAAAGGGAGACAGAGAGAGAGAGUAGGAGAAAAAAAAGUUGGAAUAAAGUGUCAGAGAGCAAAGAGAAGACAAGCACAGAAACACACACACACACCACAUUCAUACAAUAGAGAAGAUGUCCUUCACAGUUUCCUGCUGCUUGGUGCUAUUGUUGUUGUUGUUGUCUUUGCGGUAGAGACACUGUGUGUGUCUGCGUCAGAAUCAGUGGGCUAAUGAAGGGAGCAUUAUGCCUCUGACGCACUCUCUGGUCCCAUAGGGUUGGAUGGAGGGAAUAGAGAGGAGGGGAGGGGUUAGAAAAAUCACUCUCCUCUCUGUGGUCUUGUAGUUACUGUUUUAUUUUAAAUGAAAUGCAAAAGCAGUGCAGACAGAACCAUCUUUAAGAUUGCUUUUACGUUAGAGGUUUGUUGUUGUUAAAGCAAUAUGUGAGAACUGUUUCCCCUCUCAAAUACAGUACUAAGCUUUGAUUUCAUUGUGAUAUGUAGUACAGCUUCAUAUGCAUUGUAAUGUGUAUUACAAGCCCAAAGUGCAGAAUUUAUUGGGCAUUGUAAGCUUUAUAUAUACACACAUAAUGUAACUUGUAUACAUUGUAUUCAAAUUCAUUUGUAUCCAUUUUAAUCAAACCUUUUACAGCCUCAGACCUUAAAGAAGUGAAGCAGAUUAUGACAACAAAUUGAAUGAAUCAAAGUGGGAACAAAGUCAGUAGCAGGCUUACAGUGUCUCUUAUACAGGAAAUAAACAAUGACCUGAAUAACUGAGUAUUGCUGAUUACAGCUGAAACAAACUGAACAAAAUUAAGUUCUGUUCAAUUUUCUUUUUUUUUUUU